GGGGAUGUAACUCAGUUGGUAGAGUGCCUGCUUAGCAUGCAUGAAGCCCUGGGUUGGAUCCCAGCAUUGCAU
This 72-nucleotide transfer RNA is filed under the name Neotoma lepida (desert woodrat). It matches the Rfam family "tRNA". Rfam says of the family: Transfer RNA (tRNA) molecules are approximately 80 nucleotides in length. Their secondary structure includes four short double-helical elements and three loops (D, anti-codon, and T loops). The record is from Rfam by way of RNAcentral. Lineage: Eukaryota; Metazoa; Chordata; Mammalia; Rodentia; Cricetidae.